Molecule: long non-coding RNA, 949 nt
Organism: Anguilla rostrata (American eel)
Lineage: Eukaryota; Metazoa; Chordata; Actinopteri; Anguilliformes; Anguillidae
Exons: 2
Source: RefSeq, a predicted model, not a curated record
ACUUUGUUCUUGGGAUGAUCUCCGUGAGCCAAACUCUCCUCGUUCUCCUCUUCCUCCUCUGGUACCUGCAGAGAAAUUAGCUGUCAGUCACUGCCCCCACCUGCACAGUGGCCAUUACAGUAAAUAGUAUAGUUGUUCCUGGCCCAUGACAGCAGCCUGCAGGUGUUAAAGAUCUCCUCGCUGAAGGCAGACCCAGCUUGGGCAGACCAGGUUUGCACCCCACCGCUCAUCCUGGGCCCUGAAUGUAGAACCCCUGCAGACUCACCUCCCAGUAAAUCGAGUCGUCAAAGCAGUUCUGGUCUGGAGGCUGUCCCCACACGGGCAGCUUCAUGAUCAGACCUUUAAAAACAAAACCGGUCAAAGUCUGCACUCCCGCAUUUUACAAAAACGCUCCUGCAUUUUACAACAUCGCUCCUGCAUUUUACAACAUCGCUCUGAUGCAGAUUCAGCUGUGGAAAAAUCAGUGAUAAAAUGCUUGAAAAGCUAAUGGUUUAAAAGCCCUCCUACCAUUUCAGAUGGUAGGUACCAAACUGGUUAACAGUUCAUAGUGUUGUGGUCACCAGCCCUGUUUCUGAAGAUAUACCAUCCUUUCGGUAUUCAAUUCAUCCCUAAUUUGACACAUCUGACUCUACAAAUUAGCUGCUCAACAAGAUCUCUAGCUGUUGAAGGUGGUGAGUUUGAGUGGGUUGGAGUGAAAACCAGCAGGACAGUAGAUCUCCAGGAACAGAGUCGGUUGCUGUUGGUACAAUAUAUCCUGUGCAAGCUACAAAGGAAUUCAGAACUCUAUGGUAUCUGUAGAAAUCAUGCAUGUUUUUUGUAAUGCAAUAAUUGGAAUAAAAUGUAGGUCAGAUGAACAUACCUGUGAUGGCCCCCCCGACAAGUGCGAACCCCAGGGAGGAGGCCAGGGCUGCGGCCUGCAUGGAGGCCAGGCCACUAGGGGGCGACAGAA